UCAGGUGACUAUAUCGGUGGGGUUCCACCUCUUCCCAUUCCGAACAGAGAAGUUAAGCCCACCAGAGCCGAUGGUACUGCAUUUGCGGGAGAGUAGGUCGUCGCCGACU
This 109-nucleotide ribosomal RNA is filed under the name Bacteroidetes bacterium GWF2_35_48. Lineage: Bacteria; Pseudomonadati; Bacteroidota. RNAcentral also lists the same sequence under 1 other name. The record is from RNAcentral.